This is a long non-coding RNA of Salvelinus fontinalis (brook trout), 6528 nucleotides long. RefSeq lists it as uncharacterized. NCBI's taxonomy places the organism in Eukaryota, Metazoa, Chordata, Actinopteri, Salmoniformes, Salmonidae. The record is from RefSeq and is a predicted model, not a curated record. The transcript has 3 exons.
UGUGCUAUGAAUAUGGGACCAAAUACUUAACCUUUUACUACUUUAAUACACGUCGGGCAUCCUUCUGUGAAUCCGGAGGCGAGCGUGUAAACUCCCACUGCCUUCUAUUCUUCUGGCUAACGUGCAAUCACUGGAAAAUAAAAUUGAUAACCUACGUUUAAGAUUAUCCUACCUACGGGACAUUAAAAACUGUAACAUCUUAUAUUUCACCAAGACGUGGCUGAACGAAGACACGGACAAUUUAGAGCUAGCGUGAUUUUCCAUGCACCGGCAGAACAGAGACGCUACCUCUGGUAAGACGAGGGGUGGGGGUGUGUGUCUUUUUGUAAAUAACAGCUGGUGCGCGAUGUGUAAUAUUAAAGAAGUCUGGAGGUAUUGCUCGCCUGAGGUGGAGUACCUUAUGAUAAGCGGUAGACCACACUAUCUAGCAAGAGAGUUCUCAUUUGUAUUAUUCGUAGCCGUCUAUUUACCACCACAAAACGAAGCUGGCACUAAAACCGCUCUCAACCAACUCUAUGAGGCCAUAAGCAAAGAAGAAAAUGCUCACCCAGAAGCGGCGCUCCUAGUGGCCGGAUACUUUAAUGCAGGCAAACAUAAAAUUAGUUUUACCACAUUUUUACGUGCAACCAUGGGAAACCAUGGUUGCCCUCAGACGAACCAUGGGGGAAAAAUCCUAGACCACCUUUACUCCACACACAGAGCUGCAUAAAAUGCUCUCCCAAGCCCUCCAUUUGGCAAAUCUGACCAUAAUUCUAUCCUCCUGACUCCUGCUUACAAGCCAAAAAGCAGGAAGAACCAGUGACUCGCUCAAUACGGAAGUGGUUGGAUGACACGGAUACUACACUACAGGACUGUUUUGCUAGCACAGACUGGAAUAUGUUCCGGGAUUCAUCCAAUGGCAUUGAGGAAUACACCACCUCAGUCAUCGGCUUCGUCAAUAAGUGCAUCGAUGAUGUCGUACCCACAGUGACAGUAUGUACAUAUCCCAACCAAAAGCCAUGGAUUACAGGCAACACCCGCAUCGAGCUAAAGGCUAGAGCUGCCGCUUUUAAGGAGCAGGAGACUAAUCCGGACACUUAUAAGAAAUCCCGCUAUGCCCUCAGACGAACCAUCAAACAAGCAAAGCAUCAAUACAGGAUUAAGAUUGAAUCCCACUACACCGGCUCUGAUGCUCGUCGGAUGUGGCAGGGCUUGAAAACUAUUACGGACUACAAAGGAAAACCCAGACGCGAGCUGCUCAGUGACGCGAGCCUACCAGACAAGCUAAAUGCCUUUUUUGCUCGUUUCAAGGCAAGCAACACUGAAGCAUGCACGGGAGCACAAUGGAUGACUGUGUGAUAGCGCUCUCGGUAGCCGAUGUGAACAAAACCUUUAAACAGGUCAACAUUCACAAAGCCGCUGGGCUAGACGGAUGACCAGGACUUGUACUCAAAGCAUGAGCAGACCAACUGUCAAGUGUCUUCACUGACAUUUUCAACCUCUCCCUGACUGAGUCUGUAAUACCUACAUGUUUCAAGCAGAACACCACAGCCCCUGUGCCCAAGGAAGCGAAGGUAACCUGCCUAAAUGACUACCGCCCCGUGACACUCACGUCGGUAGCCAUGAAGUGCUUUGAAAGGCUGGUCAUGGCUUACAUCAACAGCAUCCUCCCGGACACCCUAGACCCACCCCCAUUUCACAUAACGCCCCAACAGAUCCACAGAUUAUGCAAUCUCAAUCGCACUCCACACUGCCCUUUCCCACCUGGAUAAAAGGAACACCUAUAUGAGAAUGCUGUUCAUUGACUACAGCUCAGCGUUCAACACCAUAGUGCCCACGAAGCUCAUCACUAAGUUAAGGACUCUGGGACUAAACAUCUCCCUCUGCAACUGGAUCCUGGACUUCCUGAUGGGACGCUCCCCGGUGGUAAGAGUAGGCAACAACACAUCUGCCACACUGGGGCCCCUCCUGUAUUCCCUGUUCACCCAUGACUGCGUGGCCAAACAUGAUUCCAACACCAUCAUUACGUUUGCUGAUGACACAACAGUGGUAGGCCUGAUCACCGACAACGAUGAGACGGCCUAUAGGGAGGUCAGAGAACUGGCAGUGUGGUGCCAAGACAACAACCUCUCCCUCAAUGUGAUCAAGACAAAAGAGCUGAUCGUGGACUACAGGAAAAGGCGGGCCGAACAGUCCCCCAUUAACAUCGAUGGGGCUGUAGUGGAGCGGGUCGAGAGUUUCAUGUUCCUUGGUGUCCACAUCGCCAACGAACUAUCAUGGUCCAAACAUACCAAGCCAGUCGUGAAGAGGGCACGACAAAACCUUUUCCCCCUCAGGAGACUGAAAAGAUUUGGCAUGGGUCCCCAGAUCCUCAAAAGGUUCUACAGCUGCACCAUCGAGAGCAUCCUGACCGGUUGCAUCACCUCCUGGUAAGGCAACUGCUCGCCAUCUGACCGUAAGGCGCUACAGAGGAUAAUGCGAACGACCCAGUACAUCACAGGUGCCAAGCUUCCUGCCAUCCAGGACCUAUAUAAUAGGCAGUGUCAGAGGAAAGCCCAUAACAUUUUUUCAGAGACUCCAGUCAAUCAAGUUAUAGACUGUUUAAUCUGCUACUGCACGGCAAGCGGUACCGGAGCGCCAAGUCUAGGACCAAAAGGCUCCUCAACAGCUUCUACCCCCAAGCAAUAAGACUGCUGAACAAUUUAGAAAAUCACCACCGGACAAUUUACAUUGACCCCCCCCCCUCUUCCCUUUUGUACACUGCUGCUACUCUGUUUGUUUGUUACCUAUGCAUAGUCACUUCGCCCUCACCUACAUGUACAGAUUACCUCAAUUAGCCUGUACCCCUGCACACUGACUCGGUACCUGUGCCCCCUGUAUACAGGCUCGUUAUUGUUAUUCUUAUUGUGUUACUUUCAUUAUUACUUUUUAUUUUAGUCUACUUGGUAAAUAUUUUCUUCUUCUUGAACUGCACUGUUGGUUAUGGGCUUGUAAGUAAGCAUUUCAUGGUAAAGUCUACACUUGUUGUAUUCGGCACUUGUGACAAAUAAAGUUUAAUUUGUACAUGAAUUUGUCCCAAUACUUUUGGUCCCCUAAAAUGGGGGGGGACUAUGUACAAAAAGAGCUGUCAAUUCUAAAUGGUUCACCUGAUAUGGAUGAAAAUACCCUCAAAUUAAAGCUGACAGUCUGCAUCUUAACCUUAUAGUCAUCAUUUGAUUUGAAAUCCAAAGUGCUGGAGUACAGAGCCAAAACAACAAGAAAUGUGUCACUGUCCCAAUACUUUUGGAGCUCACUGUAUAUACAGUGUCUUCGGAAAGUAUUCAGACCCCUUGACUUUUUCCACAUUUUGUUACAUUACAACUUUAUUCUACAAUGGAUAAAUAAAUAAAAAUCUCAGCAAUCUACACACAAUACCCCAUAAUGACAAGCGAACACUGGUUUUUAGACAUUUUUGCAAAUGUAUUAAAAAUAAAAAACAGAAAUACCUUAUUUACACAAGUAUUCAGACACUUUGCUAUAAGAGUCGAAACUGAGCUUAGGUGCAUCCUGUUUCCAUUGAUCAUCCUUGAGAUGUUUCUACAACUUGGAGUCCACCUGUGGUAAAUUCAUUUGAUUGGACAUGAUUUGGAAAGGUACACACCUGUCUAUAUACGGUCCCACAGUUGAAAGGGCAUAUCAGAGCAAAAACCAGGCCAUGAGGUCGAAGGAAUUGUCCGUAGAGCUCCGAGACAGGAUUGUCCCGAAGUGGCUUUGGGACAAGUCUCAAUGUCCUUGAGUGGCCCAGCCAAAGCCCGGACUUGAACCCGAUCGAACAUCUCUGGAGAGACCUGAUAAUAGCUGUGCAGCAACGCUCCCCAUCCAACCUGACAGAACCUGAGAGGUGUGCCAAGCUUGUAGCGUCCUACCCAAGAAGACUCAAGGCUGUAAUCGCUGCCAAAGAUGCUUCAACAAAGUACUGAGUAAAGGGUCUGAAUACUUAUGUAAAUUUUAUAUUUCCGUUUUUUUUAUACAUUUGCUAAGAUUUUUUAAACCCUGUUAUUGCAUUGUCAUUACGGGGUAUUGUGUGUAGAUUGAUGAGGAAAAUAAACAAUUUCAUAAAUUUCAGAAUAAGGCUGUAACAACAAAAUGUGGAAAAAGUCAAGGGGUGUGAAUACUCUCCUGGCUUGGAUCAUUUUCAAAAACCCUGAGGUUGCGCAAAAAGGUGAGUUUGCUGCUAAUUACUUGAUUAGGAUGUUGGGUGGUAGAUGAGAAUAAACUCUACUUAAUGUGGCCAAAAAACAGGUCAGGAGCCACUCACGGCCCAGACUUGAAUGGAGGGAUUGAAAAGGGGCUUGUGUCAUGAUAACUGGGUUAGAUCACGGAGGGCUGUCGUGUUCCCGUUAGGUCUGUUAGCUCUCCAGAAUUUCCUCUCUGAGUGAUUGUUAUUCCGAGUGCAACAGUGACGACAGAUAGACCUACACGACAGCCUGUUCCCACGUAAGACUCCAGGUGUGGUUGACUGAUGUGCGUGUGUGUUUUUGUGAAAAAGCCACCCAGCGUGCUACAGUGCUAGACACGGCACCGACACCCACAGGAAAACGCCAGGCUGGGACAUUCCGAAACGAAUUGGUCCACAUUCCACACCUAGCGUUACAAUUCCGGAAGCUGCGCUUUGCUCAUAUAAACCCAAUGAGUCAGAAGAAAUAUCAAAAUAUUUAGUGGAACUUUUCCUUUUGCCCAGACCCAGACGGACCAAACCCCAGUCGACCCAGAGCGUUCCAGAACGGAGAUGCGCCAGCCAGACAACGAGGGGCGGGGGUGCACUCUGGCACAGACAUGAGUGCAAUAGAAAAAGAGGGAGGAACGAAAAUAACAUUUGAAAAUUGGAAAGAAACAAGCACAGAAAUGUGUGUUUAGUCCUAGGCGUCUCCCACCCUCUCUCUCUCUCCGCUGUGUGGUACCUUGGCCGUCAGAGCAGGUGUUGGGCAGGGAGGGUAUAAAGGCCAUCUGGAGCGCAGAGCAGUGAGAAUUAAGACUUCCACACUCUGACAGGGCUCAGACGAACCAUCUGGUCCACCCCUCGCUUAAAGAACCUGUUCCCAGCUUCAUCACACACCGGCCUCCGGCACUUGCGCUCUCUCACUAAAAACAUAGGCUACCUCUUUACUCACUCGAUUAGAUUAGCAUUUGCUGUCGGGAGGUUAGUGUCGUGUGAAGACCUGCUUCUUCCUGGUAGAUUUACAGUUAAUUUUUCUUGUUACUUCUUGGAGUGGAGUCGGGCUGCCAUGGCGUGGGCGAGACGUGUGUUUGGACCUGGGAUGUCAGUCUGUCUCUGGGCUUUGUGUCUGUCCCUUAGUCUCAUCUGGACUUGUCAGGUGACCCAGGCAGCCAUCUACAGACACGCAGGUCCGUGUAUUUACAAGGAGGUUCAUUUUCAGCCUGGACAGACCUUCUACAGGGGCUGUGACAAGUGCUACUGCCACGAAAAUGGCUACUUUUGCCUCUCACCGAUGAAACCUACCACAUGGCCCAACAAGUGCCAGCGGGUUUCGACAGAGUGUGGCUACCGCAUCGUUUAUAAGGAGUUGCCGGAGGUGGAGUGUCGUGCCUACAGCUGGAUCCGGUGAAGGAAGACACACCGAUGCCCCCUACAGUCAAAAUACAAGACGGCAAGACUCUGGCAGUGGACAACCCUUUAACGAAGCAGUUACGCGGCAGAGAACACAACCCACUCGACCUUCAAUUUGGGAAUUGGUUCUCUCAAAAGGAGGAACCAAUUCCCCAAUUGAACAACCCAACUCCCAAAGUUUCAUCCUGUGUGCCAGUGUGUGCACAAUAUUGACUGUAAAAAGCAUUUAAGUGGACCAAAGGAUCUCCUCAGUUGGCAUGGAUACUAAUAAGAUGUUAUCAAACAAGUACCGCAAAAGUAGCAACCAACUCCAGUGUACAGUUUCCUAUCGUCCCAAUAUGCUUGUUCAGAUUCCUGCCCAUGGCCUUACUGUAAUGACCACUGAUACAUGGGACAAACUGAGUUGAUUGGUGGACUGCGUUGCCCUUCUAAGAGGACAGACCAUGUAUCACCUCGCGACAAGUUCGCAAGACAAAUGGCGUUGCAUUAUACAUGUCAACGGUAUUACACUCCGCUGCCCAAGCGUGGGCGCCCAUACCCCGACCAGACACCCUUCAUUACCACGCAGUGUUACAAAAACGUCUAUAGCCAUUUCCCUAUCUGUUCUUUCGUAAAUAUUCAAUCUCCUAUAUGACAUUGACUAAGUAACGCUUUCGCACCCUGAUAGGUUUUCAAUGUGAAAGGUAGCGAAAGCGCCAUCAGUCAACUUCACAAACGUAGGCUGGGUUUACACUUCACUAGGCGUACUCCAGAGGCUUCCAGACUUCACACGACACAGAUUUCGGUGCAUGUCAGAAAUUGCAACUUUACGCAAGCAUCCGUGAGGUAUUGCAAAGCACCCUAGCAUCACUUAGCAUAAACUAAGGAGAUGCAUGCCAAUAUUUCACUGUUGACUUCAGUGUAUGUAUAUAAUUUCUUUCUAAUAAAAAGUGCCAGUUUAA